This 497-nucleotide ribosomal RNA is filed under the name uncultured bacterium. Its description in RNAcentral is "partial 16S ribosomal RNA". It matches the Rfam family "Bacterial small subunit ribosomal RNA", at positions 28 to 507 of the family's 1533-position model. The record is from RNAcentral.
GAUGAACGCUGGCGGCGUGCCUAAUACAUGCAAGUCGAGCGAACGGACGAGCAGCUUGCUUUUCUGAUGUUAGCGGCGGACGGGUGAGUAACACGUGGAUAACCUACCUAUAAGACUGGGAUAACUUCGGGAAACCGGAGCUAAUACCGGAUAAUAUUUUGAACCGCAUGGUUCAAAAGUGAAAGACGGUCUUGCUGUCACUUAUCGAUGGAUCCGCGCUGCAUUAGCUAGUUGGUAAGGUAACGGCUUACCAAGGCAACGAUGCAUAGCCGACCUGAGAGGGUGAUCGGCCACCCUGGAACUGAGACGCGGUCCAGACUACUACGGGAGGCAGCAGUAGGGAAUCUUCCGCAAUGGGCGAAAGCCUGACGGAGCAACGCCGCGUGAGUGAUGAAGGUCUUCGGAUCGUAAAACUCUGUUAUUAGGGAAGAACAUAUGUGUAAGUAACUGUGCACAUCUUGACGGUACCUAAUCAGAAAGCCACGGCUAACUACGUG